Long non-coding RNA from Tupaia belangeri chinensis (Chinese tree shrew), 1214 nucleotides. RefSeq lists it as uncharacterized. The record is from RefSeq and is a predicted model, not a curated record. The transcript has 8 exons. NCBI's taxonomy places the organism in Eukaryota, Metazoa, Chordata, Mammalia, Scandentia, Tupaiidae.
AGCAGACUGGAUGCUUCUAAUUCUAUUCCUAGCAGCAAAAUGGAAUAUCCUGGCCUGUCUCACCCUGUGUACCAGAAAUAAGUCAUCCCAAACUCAAAUGCUAAGAGAACAGUUUCUCCAUCCCAAACCAGGCCACCUUCCCUAAAGAGAAAAGAGAAGAAAGAGAAAAGACUUUGUAUCAGCUAGGAUCUGUAAGUGAGGAAAAUAAAGAAGAGUCACCCCCAACAGGAUCUUCGUACAAUAAUCAACCCCUGGCUUCGGCCAGCCAGGAUCAUGGGCAUCUGCACACUAGAAUGUACAGGAAUACUUUGGUUCAAGAACUCAGGACCUUCCCAUGUGACGUCAGCAUCAUGGGCAUAUCUCUUCAACUUCUGACUUAAUACAAGACAGCUUGAUUCUUCUGAUCCUGCAUUUAAUGUGUUGCCAUGUGCUGUUUAAUGAAGUAUGUGGAUAAAAUCAAGCUUCGCUCGAAGGCAUAGUUGGUUGUGGGCUUCAGAGAGAGAACACUAACAGCAGCAGGAACUAAAAAGUCUUAGGUGCUGUGCCAAGCGUGUUUCAUGCACAAUCUCACAGGAAGUUCCGCUUUAUCCCCACUUUCGGACAAGGAAACUGAGGAUCAGAGAGAGACAAGACACUUCUCUUUCACAACCGUCCUGCCUCAGCUUCCCAACUGGGACUACAGGUGCAGAGAUUGGCGCAGCAGCUCACCCUCCAGCACUGAGCAUCCAUGUUGGGCAGAACUUCCAUGGUCACCCAUUUCAUUGGCUCUUGGCUAGACCUUAGAAUAGUUUCCCGAAGGAAGACCUAGGAACAAUCUGGGAAGAUACCUGAGGCCUACCUCAAACUUGCAGGGUCAGAGUUUCUGUGGCUGGUGCCUGAGACAUCUUACCCAUACUUCCCAGGUGAAUUUAUCCCCAAGUGAUUUUUAUGGAUCUUAAAGUUUGGAAACAAUGUCCAUGGAGAGAUGUGUUAGAUUCUCAUUCUGGUUCCUAUCAGAUGUGUGAAGCAUGCAUAAUAUGAAGAGUGAGAAGUCUGAGGCCUUGUCCACAGGAAAUAAUCAGCCCAACAGCUAAACCUGGGCUCACAGGCCAGCUACCCCACUCUGGACCCCCUCUCAGGACUUAUCUCCUCACUGCCUUCAAGCCUUUCUACUUUGAAAAGUCUUUUGAGAAUCUUCAAAAUGAUAAACUAAGACCUACAGCAGCACUCCAAGG